Long non-coding RNA from Scylla paramamosain (green mud crab), 633 nucleotides. RefSeq lists it as uncharacterized. The record is from RefSeq and is a predicted model, not a curated record. The transcript is spliced from 2 exons. NCBI's taxonomy places the organism in Eukaryota, Metazoa, Arthropoda, Malacostraca, Decapoda, Portunidae.
CAAACAAGGCAGAGAUGGUAGGGGAAGAGAAGGUGGAGGUGAAAGUGGAGGAGGAGGAGGAGGAGGAGGAAGUAAAAUCGGAAGGAGUGAGGCAUAUAGGCAGUCAUUUCUUCAGAGGGCUGAGCGCAGGUAAGGUGCUGUCACUGCUGUACGGAGAGCUGAACAAGCCUGUCCUGCCAAAAAUCCCCAAAAAUCCCCAUGCUGCUGAAGGAAACGGGACUUAAUGUUAGACAAACUGGCUGGCAGAAAUCAGAUGCUAUCCUUCUCUCUCACUUCAUCUUCCAGGAAGGGAGGAGAGAGGUCAUCCUUCUGCCAAUGCAAAGACGACGAUUUCCUCCUACUACUGUUUUUUUUUGUUAUAAAAUGUCAAACUCGGAUCGCCGUUAUGUUGUCCUCCCCACUUUAUCCUGUGAACAAACGUUACAGUGAAGAACAGUACCUGUCUUUGGUGCCGGUACAGGACCACCAUAUAAUAAAUUAUAAGAUAAUUGAUUUUUUUUUUUUCAUUAUGGAACCAUUUUUUUUUUUUUUUUGUUUAUGCUAGUCUGUGGUGUAAGUACAAGAGUUGACCACAUCUAUAUAAACUACGAUGAUUAUCAGUCCAUGCUUUUAAUAAAUUUCCUUUGAACCCAA